RNAcentral lists this ribosomal RNA (253 nucleotides) under uncultured bacterium. RNAcentral's name for it is "partial 16S ribosomal RNA". It matches the Rfam family "Bacterial small subunit ribosomal RNA", at positions 524 to 776 of the family's 1533-position model. The record is from RNAcentral.
UACAGAGGGGGCAAGCGUUGUUCGGAAUUACUGGGCGUAAAGGGCGCGUAGGCGGCCUGCUAAGUCGAACGUGAAAUCCCUGGGCUCAACCCAGGAACUGCGUCCGAUACUGGUUGGCUUGAAUCCGGGAGAGGGAUGCGGAAUUCCAGGUGUAGCGGUGAAAUGCGUAGAUAUCUGGAGGAACACCGGUGGCGAAGGCGGCCCUCUGGACGGUGACUGACGCUGAGACGCGAAAGCGUGGGGAGCAAACAGG